This 700-nucleotide ribosomal RNA is filed under the name Fusarium solani. Its description in RNAcentral is "eukaryotic LSU rRNA". The stretch from base 1 to 181 matches the Rfam family "Eukaryotic small subunit ribosomal RNA", at positions 1653 to 1831 of the family's 1831-position model. The record is from RNAcentral. Lineage: Eukaryota; Fungi; Ascomycota; Sordariomycetes; Hypocreales; Nectriaceae.
CUGCCCUUUGUACACACCGCCCGUCGCUACUACCGAUUGAAUGGCUCAGUGAGGCGUCCGGACUGGCCCAGAGAGGUGGGCAACUACCACUCAGGGCCGGAAAGCUCUCCAAACUCGGUCAUUUAGAGGAAGUAAAAGUCGUAACAAGGUCUCCGUUGGUGAACCAGCGGAGGGAUCAUUACCGAGUUAUACAACUCAUCAACCCUGUGAACAUACCUAUAACGUUGCCUCGGCGGGAACAGACGGCCCCGUAACACGGGCCGCCCCCGCCAGAGGACCCCCUAACUCUGUUUCUAUAAUGUUUCUUCUGAGUAAACAAGCAAAUAAAUUAAAACUUUCAACAACGGAUCUCUUGGCUCUGGCAUCGAUGAAGAACGCAGCGAAAUGCGAUAAGUAAUGUGAAUUGCAGAAUUCAGUGAAUCAUCGAAUCUUUGAACGCACAUUGCGCCCGCCAGUAUUCUGGCGGGCAUGCCUGUUCGAGCGUCAUUACAACCCUCAGGCCCCCGGGCCUGGCGUUGGGGAUCGGCGGAAGCCCCCUGCGGGCACAACGCCGUCCCCCAAAUACAGUGGCGGUCCCGCCGCAGCUUCCAUUGCGUAGUAGCUAACACCUCGCAACUGGAGAGCGGCGCGGCCACGCCGUAAAACACCCAACUUCUGAAUGUUGACCUCGGAUCAGGUAGGAAUACCCGCUGAACUUAAG